Hipposideros armiger (great roundleaf bat) is the source of this 1032-nucleotide long non-coding RNA. RefSeq lists it as uncharacterized. The record is from RefSeq and is a predicted model, not a curated record. Lineage: Eukaryota; Metazoa; Chordata; Mammalia; Chiroptera; Hipposideridae. The transcript is spliced from 2 exons.
CUGUCCGGCCAUUCCCGCUUGCACUAGUGCAGACCGCAGCGGGGAUGGGUCAAAUGGGGUCCUUUCCCGGAAGUCACAGACAGAGGCAUGGUGAUCGUUGCGGGCCAGAGCCCAGGGAGAGGCCAGGGGCGUUUUCCAGGGAGUGCGGAGUCGAGCACCCUCGUGUUCUAUCGCAAACCCAAUCAACCCGCUCGGGGAGAUUCUAGUUGAGGUAAACUAACAAAAUGUAUUGUGCCAGAGAGCGGUCAGCAUUCUGGAGGGUAAUGCGGGUGGACACUCGGGUGGGGGCCGAUUUCGGGGAGUUCAGCGGAGCGCAGGAUGAUCUUCCGCCGUCUGCGACGGGGGCUGGGCCAGCCUCCCCUCCAAUCACAGCUCAGCAUGUCCCUCAGGGUUCUGCGACUUCCGGCUGUCAACGCGGAAACCGUGAGGCGGGUCGGGAGCGGCGCCAGGAGGGCUGCCUAGUGCGGGGCUGACCAGUCAGGACAGCCGGGGCUCUGCAGCUCAGCCCUUCCGCAUCCGCGGGUGCCUCCCGCGGCAUUUCCCCUUCUGUCCCUGAGACAAUGCGCGGUCCCCUCCCAGAGUACUGUGGGGCCGCUUUGCGGUCGGCCAGGUUCCUCUCAGCCAUCUGCCCUGGCCCAGGCCCAGGCCCGUGGUUCUUACAUCCGCCCCAGUCGCUAUCCUAACCUCAGGGAGUCGCCUCCACCUCGUCGGACAUAGGUCUGGCAUCCAUCCCGGUCUCAGCUUCCGUGGAGGCUCUGCCCUCCUCACAUUCCCAGCAUCGUUUCUGGACUCCCGUGAGAGCUGAAUGCUGGAGGGGUGCAAGGCUAAGUAAGGAUGGGGGCUCAAGUCUCAAACAGCUCAGGUUUGGGACCGAUGUAAUUGCAACCAUCCCAGCGUUCUCAAGCUUCAGACAUAGCUGGUCCUAGGACUCAGAGGGCACCUCCAGACUGAAGUUCUCCCUGUAACCCUUCCUCUCCGUUCUUCUUAGCCAUUCUGCUCUUGCUGAUUAUUUUCAUAAAUGCUGUCUCCACA